RNAcentral lists this ribosomal RNA (468 nucleotides) under uncultured bacterium. RNAcentral describes it as "partial 16S ribosomal RNA". It matches the Rfam family "Bacterial small subunit ribosomal RNA", at positions 28 to 507 of the family's 1533-position model. The record is from RNAcentral.
GACGAACGCUGGCGGCGUGCUUAACACAUGCAAGUCGAACGGAAAGGCCCUGCUUUUGUGGGGUGCUCGAGUGGCGAACGGGUGAGUAAAACGUGAGUAACCUGCCCUUGACUUUGGGAUAACUUCAGGAAACUGGGGCUAAUACCGGAUAGGAGCUCCUGCUGCAUGGUGGGGGUUGGAAAGUUUCGGCGGUUGGGGAUGGACUCGCGGCUUAUCAGCUUGUUGGUGGGGUAGUGGCUUACCAAGGCUUUGACGGGUAGCCGGCCUGAGAGGGUGACCGGCCACAUUGGGACUGAGAUACGGCCCAGACGCCUACGGGAGGCAGCAGUGGGGAAUAUUGCACAAUGGGCGGAAGCCUGAUGCAGCAACGCCGCGUGCGGGAUGACGGCCUUCGGGGUGUAAACCGCUGUCGCCGGUGACGAAGCGGGAGUGACGGUAAUGGGUAAAGAAGCACCGGCUAACUACGUG